Molecule: long non-coding RNA, 262 nt
Organism: Triticum dicoccoides
Lineage: Eukaryota; Viridiplantae; Streptophyta; Magnoliopsida; Poales; Poaceae
Exons: 3
Source: RefSeq, a predicted model, not a curated record
CUCGUUUAUGACCAGUGGAAAUCGAAUUCCAGGCUGCUAUUGAGGCAGAGAGAGCAAAGACCCAGGCUGCUUUUGAGGAGAGGGACCGGCAGUUGGCGGAGAGGGACCGACAGGCGGCGGAGAGGGACAGGGAGAAUGAGGAGAGGACGGCUAGGCUGUUGGAGGAGGAGAGGAACCGGAACGACUCGGCUAACCGGGCCAUGUACGAUCUCUUCGUGUCCAUGUGCGAGAAGAACGGCCAGACCCCUCCGCCGAUGCCAGU